Molecule: long non-coding RNA, 1053 nt
Organism: Dunckerocampus dactyliophorus (ringed pipefish)
Lineage: Eukaryota; Metazoa; Chordata; Actinopteri; Syngnathiformes; Syngnathidae
Exons: 4
Source: RefSeq, a predicted model, not a curated record
AUGAAGUGGUAUUUCAGAAAGAUACCAAGACGAAUAAAAAAAAUGUUAAACGUGCUUUUAGGGUGGGUGUGCAACCUACGAAAAGAGCCUACCGGUAUCUUCCCACCUGACAGUCGGAGGCGUGGCCUGCGUCAAAAUGAACAGUGUAAGUGAAAAGUGUACGUCCUCCGUGUCAGACAGAUGAAAGUGUAUGCGUGCACUUGUUUGUGGGUGUGAAACUCCCAUCACCCGAUGUUGGCCGCACUGCCGCCGGUCAUCAAGCGAAUUCCACAGUUAGCUCGCUAAUUGCUAGCCUGCUGGCUAGCUAGCAGGCUAACUGCUAGCUAGUCCAAGUAGCUUCAGUUGGCCUUGAUUUUGACAACGAAACAAGCACAGUCUGCUGCUGGAACUCUGCGCUCCCUCUGGAUAUGACGAAAGAGUUCCCGACUUGCACGCCGCACCUUCUUACCUUUUGAACGUUCCACUUUUUUCCUGGAGGGUGACGUCACAGACGGCCGGACGUAGACUCCUAGACCACCGUCGUCUCUGCAGCGGUCCAGAUGACAGAUGGGGCGGGGGUAUCGGGGACGGAGGAGGCUACGAGAGGCCCGCUGAUGAGCGAAGCUUCCCGAAUCAUACAAAAGCAGCUUACAAGUCACCUUGCAGUGACAAGUCACCUGUGGAGCAGCAACCAUGACUAAACGAUUCAUCAAUUAUCCAAUUCAUCAACAACUCUUUUGACCAUCCAUCCAUCUUCUUCGUCCAACCCGGUGGUUCCCAGGCCAGCUGAGAGACAAAGCCUCCCCAACACGUCCUGAGUCUUCCCCGAGGCCUCCUACCGGUCGGACGUGCCCUGGACACCAGAUGCCCGAGUCAGCUCAUCUUCAACGUAGCCCAGACACCCCACGGGGAAAAUUCAUUUCUCACUCAAACCACGAAGAAAAAUCUCAAGUGGCCGUGGUCAUGAGCUUUGGGUAGCGACCGAAAGGGCAAGAAUGACGGGUACAAGCGGACGAAAUGAGUUUUCUCUCUGUGUUUUAGGCAGAACAAGAUGUUCACACACACUUCCACAAA